UGGCUGGCUUCGGAGCGGCGCCGCAGCCCUCACUUCCCUGAGAGCCGCCGGUUCGAGUCCCGUGUUCGCGCCCUCGCCUGGCUGAGCUUAGAUGAGAAGCCCGGCCUGGCCAGUAGCCAGCCACUGGUCUGGGAGUCCUGGUUUGCAAGUGUUUGUGAUCAGAUGACGCGAAACUAGUGCUCAGAAAGAUGUGCAAGACCUGAAACACUCAUAAGACCUUGCUGGUUCUGAAAUCCUGCACGUCGAUACCUUAUGGCCUCGUUUAUUUAGAUAACGAAAGCAAAACUGUUCUGUUGGUUUAGGCGAUGAAAACAUCACUAAAUAACACAGCUGCAAAUAUUA
Long non-coding RNA from Calidris pugnax (ruff), 342 nucleotides. RefSeq lists it as uncharacterized. NCBI's taxonomy places the organism in Eukaryota, Metazoa, Chordata, Aves, Charadriiformes, Scolopacidae. The record is from RefSeq and is a predicted model, not a curated record. The transcript is spliced from 3 exons.